RNAcentral lists this ribosomal RNA (258 nucleotides) under Vibrio natriegens NBRC 15636 = ATCC 14048 = DSM 759. RNAcentral's name for it is "partial 16S ribosomal RNA". It matches the Rfam family "Bacterial small subunit ribosomal RNA", at positions 1 to 245 of the family's 1533-position model. Lineage: Bacteria; Pseudomonadati; Pseudomonadota; Gammaproteobacteria; Vibrionales; Vibrionaceae. The record is from RNAcentral.
AAAUUGAAGAGUUUGAUCAUGGCUCAGAUUGAACGCUGGCGGCAGGCCUAACACAUGCAAGUCGAGCGGAAACGAGUUAACUGAACCUUCGGGGGACGUUAACGGCGUCGAGCGGCGGACGGGUGAGUAAUGCCUAGGAAAUUGCCCUGAUGUGGGGGAUAACCAUUGGAAACGAUGGCUAAUACCGCAUGAUGCCUACGGGCCAAAGAGGGGGACCUUCGGGCCUCUCGCGUCAGGAUAUGCCUAGGUGGGAUUAGC